CAGGAACGGUUCCCAGCUCCUCAUUCAAAAUUCAAUCUUUCAGAGACAGAGAAUUUCGAAGGUCAAGGACGCCAUUAAGAUGAUCCUUUUAAGAACUCUCUUCUGGUCUCUGGGGCCUUUGUUUUAACUGAACCAAAAGUUUCAAAGAAAGUGUUUUAUGUAUAAUUUAUAUUCUUAAUUGUAAACACUUACCAUAUUGAUUAAUGAUGUAAUCGUCAUUACUUUGCUUGCUUUGUCUGUGUGGUGCAUGAACAUAAUACACUGAAUGUGGACUCUCAUGCCCCUGAUGAAUCCGUUGGUGUGGUAUCCUCCAGGUCUCUCUGGUUACUCCCCACCCAAUCUAUACAAAAAUACAUGUUUAGUUUUCUUCAUGGGUCUGUAUCAGACCAACUAGACUUAAUGACCAUAUUCCUUAAACAGAAAUUCAUCAAUUCUUGUUUUAACAGAGAAUAGCUUUGGUAUACUUGGUUGUGGCUCUAACAGAGACCAUGGCCACAAAGAGCAGUGGUAAGUGAAGUUUCAAACCCCCAACCAGGGAGUCAAGAGAAGAGCUUCAAUUAAGCUUAUUUCAUCUGGGUAAUUUGGGUUAAUUCCCAGGAUUGGAGGGUUCGUUGCAUUUCUCAUUUAUAUGGUCACAACAUACGCACUCUAUGUUCCUGACUGGAGUUUUGUUCAUGGAGGGAAAAGAUUUACACUAUGUGUCUAAUGGCAAUGGCCUCACAAAUGAAUUACGCUUUUUAGUUUCAAUUUCUUUCAGAUAAAGAUGAAGAUUGCCAGUAAUGAAACUGAGAUCACAGAAAAUUACAGGUGAAAUGUGGAUGAGCCGCAUGUAGUGCAGUGUGUUCAAUGCCAAAUGCAGCCUUGAUCUUACUGUGUAUUGCUAGUUCUAUUUCGGCCAUCCUUUCUGGUACCAUCGAAGCUCAUUAUGGGCAUGUUCUGAUUCACUUGAAGGUAUGUAAUUCAAUGGUUCUCUGCUCAGUCCUAUUAACCAUUUGUUUUUUGGUCGCAGUGAGCUGUGGUAGAAUUCCUAAUGCAUCUGAAAACCAUAUUUAAUACUUUUCUCAGUCCAAUUAACCUUACUUCCUCUAUCCGAAUUUCUAUGUACUUCUACAAUUGAACUUUGCUUUUUCAAAGGGUGAAUCCGAGAGGCUGAAGCAAUGGGUGUCUAUAGGGCUUAUUUUACUUGGCAUAGUCACUAUUCUUCAUCUUACAGAUGGUGAGGGACUGAGGUCCCUUGUUUUUAAGUAUCAUUUCUGAAAUGGCUGCAUUUUGAUACACCUGGUCUAGGGUCUUCCUUUUCUUUUAAUGUCUGCAUUCAUGCUUGUAGCUAGCUAUAUAUUCCUCUCAACAAAAAGCUGUACAGCUUUAGCUACGUUUGUUUCACAGCAGGUGCAGCUGGAAUUGUAUUUUCUGGGCUCUACAUCCUGUCAACAGAUUGAUGUUUGGGGUCUUCGAACUCCAUUUCUAGUCCUCGAAUGGAUUGGAAUGAAUGCAAUGCUAGUGUCUGUGAAGGCGCGCAGCACAAGGUAUCUUUGCAGCAUUCGUAAAUGGAUGGUAAUUAUGAAUACCCCUAAUAACUCUCUUACUGGCACUUUGAGAAGGAAGACUGCUGUAUGUGAUACGUGAUAUUUGCAGAGAUCACCUUCUGGGGAGUUAUUGCAGGCAUAUUGCACAAAUUGGGCAUCUACCGGAAGUUAUGAGAAGUGGGAAUUCAUAUCAAGCUGACCAACAUAUUGAUUGGUUGGUGGCGCAGUGGGUUCAUUGAAGAAGAAUCAGUGUAUUUGUAGAAGAAACAUAGGUUUCAUUUUCCUUAACCACUAAGUAAUUAAUUGUACGUUGCACUUCUCUGUAAUAUGUAUGCCAGUUGAAUUAUUCACUCUUCAGCUACUAUUUAAGGUAGAAGCAGGUGUUUGAUUGAGCUUCUGUUACAAGAUGUAUCUCUUCUUUGAUUUAUUGUUUACAUUUAAAUUC
Molecule: RNA transcript, 1971 nt
Organism: Nelumbo nucifera (sacred lotus)
Lineage: Eukaryota; Viridiplantae; Streptophyta; Magnoliopsida; Proteales; Nelumbonaceae
Source: RefSeq, a predicted model, not a curated record